Acanthosepion pharaonis is the source of this 89-nucleotide non-coding RNA. The record is from the annotation of a GenBank genome assembly. NCBI's taxonomy places the organism in Eukaryota, Metazoa, Mollusca, Cephalopoda, Sepiida, Sepiidae.
CGAUUACCAUACAACCACCGAAGUUAAGCAACGUUGAGCUUGGUUAGUAACUAGAUGGGUAACCACUUGGGAAUACCAGGUGCUGUAAG